Molecule: ribosomal RNA, 809 nt
Filed under: uncultured bacterium
Lineage: Bacteria
Description: bacterial SSU rRNA
Rfam family: Bacterial small subunit ribosomal RNA
Source: RNAcentral
CGAGCGAGUCUGCCUUGAAGAUCGGAGUGCUUGCACUCUGUGAAACAAGAUACAGGCUAGCGGCGGAUGGGUGAGUAACACGUGGGUAACCUGCCUAAGAGAUCGGGAUAACACCUGGAAACAGAUGCUAAUACCGGAUAACAACAGAUGAUGCCUAUCAACUGUUUAAAAGAUGGUUCUGCUAUCACCCUUGGAUGGACCUGCGGUGCAUUAGCUAGUUGGUAGGGUAACGGCCUACCAAGGCGAUGAUGCAUAGCCGAGUUGAGAGACUGAUCGGCCACAUUGGGACUGAGACACGGCCCAAACUCCUACGGGAGGCAGCAGUAGGGAAUCUUCCACAAUGGACGCAAGUCUGAUGGAGCAACGCCGCGUGAGUGAAGAAGGGUUUCGGCUCGUAAAGCUCUGUUGUUGGUGAAGAAGGACAGGGGUAGUAACUGACCUUUGUUUGACGGUAAUCAAUUAGAAAGUCACGGCUAACUACGUGCCAGCAGCCGCGGUAAUACGUAGGUGGCAAGCGUUGUCCGGAUUUAUUGGGCGUAAAGCGAGUGCAGGCGGCUCGAUAAGUCUGAUGUGAAAGCCUUCGGCUCAACCGGAGAAUUGCAUCAGAAACUGUCGAGCUUGAGUACAGAAGAGGAGAGUGGAACUCCAUGUGUAGCGGUGAAAUGCGUAGAUAUAUGGAAGAACACCGGUGGCGAAGGCGGCUCUCUGGUCUGUUACUGACGCUGAGGCUCGAAAGCAUGGGUAGCGAACAGGAUUAGAUACCCUGGUAGUCCAUGCCGUAAACGAUGAGUGCUAAGUGUUGGGAGGUU